UCGUCUUUAGACCGGCGUAGACCGGUGCUAUCUCGGGCAGUAAUUGUCAUUGCUGCCAUUAAGAAGUCGUUAUUGCAUUUAGCUUGA
Molecule: non-coding RNA, 87 nt
Organism: Vibrio kanaloae 5S-149
Lineage: Bacteria; Pseudomonadati; Pseudomonadota; Gammaproteobacteria; Vibrionales; Vibrionaceae
Source: Rfam